AUGACUCUUAGUAAUGAAUAUUUCAACUUUCACAUCGAUAAAGAACAUAGCAUAAUGCGAUGCUUGGUGUGAAAUGUAGAAUCCCGUGAACCAUUGAGUCCUUGCAAGUAAGGUAUGCCUUAAGCCACUAAAUCAAAGGGAUGCUAGCUUGGGUGUCAUGCAUCAUCACCCCCCAAGCCCUUACCUAUCAAGCUCUAGUUAAUGAGGUAGAAGAUGGCCAUCUAUGAUCUUGUUGAUCGUGGUAGCCCAAAAAUGAGUCCCCUACAAUGAUAGCGCUAUGAUCGUCAAUGGUAAACCUCACUAAAUGCUUUAUCUCCGGUGACGUGUGCUCAUUGCCUAUUCAGACUCCAUCAAAACCCUCGCAUCGCAUGAUCAAUACUCACAUCAUGACCCUAGGUCAGGUAGGAUUACCUAUUGAGUUUAAGCAUAUCAAUAAGCAAAGAAAAAGAAGCUUGCCAAGAUUCCCCUAGUAACAAUGAACAAAUCAAAGAAAGCCUAGCUUGAGAAUCGAGCACCCCCAGCAUCCAAAUUAUAGUCUAGACAAGCAUCCUCAGUGGUGGACGAGGCCUAAGUCCCCUAGAAAGAGGUGCCAAAAAGGGUAAGAGCCCUGUUGUGCUUAGACCUUGUCACACCACAAGGCACUAUUUACAAGUCAGGUUUUGGGAAUAUAGCCCCAAUCAGGCGAUAAAUUCCAUCCAAGGUAAAUACAGGUAAGAGACUGAUAGCGAACAAGCACUACGAGGGAAAGAAGAAAAGACUUUGAAAAGAGAGUUAAAGAGUGCUUGAAAUUGUUAGGAGGGAAGUGGAUGGGGGUCAAUGAUGAGCCUUAGUUGGAUAUGGAAUGGUGAGAGCCAAUCCACCAAUCUGCUUAGGGCAUGGAUUGACAUGAGUCAUGGCAACAACCAAAGCCUAGGCUUUUGAUAUGCCCAUAGAGAUAUCAUCGUCAUGAUCAUAGAACAUAGCAAACACCAUCUCGGCAUGCCUUGACACUCGUGUGCUUUCAUCAUCGACUUGUGGGCUCCCCAUCCGACCCAUCUUGAAACAUAGACCAAAGAGUUUGACAUGUGUACCAAUCAACAGGCUAGGAAACUCAUAAGACGCAAGGAAGCUGAUGGUGGGAUCUUUUACAAGAGCACCACCAAUCGACUUUGAUCUUAUGAGAAGGGUUCGUGUAUGAGCAUGCUUGUUAGGACCCAAAAGAUGGUGAACUACACUUAUGCGAGGCAAUCAUGGAAAUCAAAAUCCACUAAGGAAUGGGUAACAACUCACUUGCCAAAUCAACUAGCCCCAAAAAUGGAUGGCACUUAAAUGUGUAACCCAUACUUGGUAAUCAGGGCAAAGGCCAGGCCCUAAUGAGUAGGAGGAUGCAACAAUCAUCACAAAACUCAUGUGUAAACCCCAGCAGAAUGGCCAUCAGUGUAUAUCUUAAUGGUAGUAGCAAAUAUUCGAAUGAGAAUUUUAAAGGCCAAAAUGGGGAUAGGUUCCAUGUAAACAACACUUGUACAAGAGUUAGUCAAUCCUAAGAGAUAGGGGAAGCUCAUUUGACAGCAUGUCUAGUGUGAGCUUCAAAAGGAAAUUAAGUUAAAAAUCUUAAACCAAAGCAUGACAGCUGAUAGCAAUAAUAAGGAAUCCAAAGACAUUGGUGGGGGCUUUAAAAAGAGUUAUCCUUUUUGUUUAAUGACCUACCUACCUUAGCAAUGGCUCAACCAGAGGUAGGGUUUAGCAACCAAAAAAGUACCGUACGUCUAGUUGUGUCUCGUGCACUCCCAAUAACCCUUGAAAAUUCAAAGGACUAAGUGUUGUCCACACCCAAUCAUACUUAUAACCACAUCAGGUCUCUAAAGUGAAUAGCCUUUGGUUGAUGGAAUAAUGUAGGCAAAGAUAGUCAGUAAAAUGGAUCCAUAACCUUGAGAAAAGGAUUAGCUCUGAGGGCUGGGCAUAAGAGCCCCAGUCUUGAACCCAUCAACUGCUAGUGCACUACUCAAGCUACUUUCGCAAUAAGAGGAGGUUGCCACUUGUCGAUCAAUGUACGAACUGGGAAUGACUUGAUUAAAGGUCUUCCUCAGGUGAUGAAUAGUCACUCAAAACUGGUACAAACAAUAGGAAUCCGACUAUUUAAUUAAAACAAAGCAUUGCGACGAUCCCUCCAAAUACUCACAUAAUGCAAUUUUUACCUAAUGCUUUAAAUGCCAAAGUGAGGAAAUUCAACCAAGUGCAGGCAAAUGAUGGGAGUAACUAUGACUCUCUUAAGGUAGCCAAAUGCCUCGUCAUAUAAUUAUUGACACGCAUGAAUGGAUUAACAAGAUUUUUGUUACCUUAUCUACUAUCUAGCAAAACCAUAUCCAAAGGAAUGAACUUGGCAGAAUCAAUAAGGAAAGAAGACCCUAUUAAGCUUAAAUCUAGUCUGACUUUGUGAAAUGACUUGAGAGGUGUAGGAUAAGCUAGAGCCAUCAGGUGAAAUUGAAAUACCACUACUUUUAACAUUAUUUUACUUAUUCUAUGAAUCAGAGGUAGGGCAUGACCCUUUCUUUUAGACCCAAGGCUAGCAUUGGUCGAUCAAUCUAGCAAAAGACAUUGUUAGGUAGGGAGUUUGGCUAGGCUAGCACAUCUGUUAAAAGAUAAUGCAUGUGUCCUACACUGAGCUCAAUGAGAACAAAAAUCUCAUAUGGAACAAAAGGGUAAAACCUCAUUUGAUUCUGAUUUCCAAUAUGAAUACGAACCAUGAAAGCAUGGCCUAUCGAUCCUUUAGACCUUUGAAAUUUAAAGCUAGAGGUGUCAAAAAAGUUACCAUAGGGAUCACUAGCUUGUGGUAGCCAAGCAUUCAUAGUGAUGUUGCUUUUUAAUCCUUUGAUGUCGGCUCUUUCUAUCAUUAUGAAGUAGAAUCCACCAGGUAUUGGAUUGUUCACCCACCAAUAAGGAACGUGAGUGUAGUUUAGACCAUCAUGAGACAAGUUAGUUUUACCUUACUAAUGGUAGCAUCACAAUAGUAAUUCAACCUAGUACGAGAAGAAUCAUUAAUUCACACAAUCGGUCAUCACACUUGGUUGAAAAGCCAGUAGCAUGAAGCUACCAUGCAUUGGAUUAUGACUGAACGCCUUUAAGUUAGAAUCCCAGCAAAAAGCAAUGCACGUGCCCAUCACCUAAUUUUUGACCUGCAGGCCCCCAAGGGCACAUGUCGUAGGUGCAGCCCCUACGGUGGACAAGCCGUGUAAGCCUCCUUGGAGCUUAAUUCUCACUGAGCAGUAGGUAAAAUCUUUUAUAG
This 3262-nucleotide ribosomal RNA is filed under the name Durio zibethinus. RNAcentral describes it as "eukaryotic LSU rRNA". The stretch from base 388 to 3262 matches the Rfam family "Eukaryotic large subunit ribosomal RNA". The record is from RNAcentral. Lineage: Eukaryota; Viridiplantae; Streptophyta; Magnoliopsida; Malvales; Malvaceae.